AUUGAACGCUGGCGGCAUGCCUUACACAUGCAAGUCGAACGGCAGCACGGGAGCAAUCCUGGUGGCGAGUGGCGAACGGGCGUGUAAAGUAUCGGAACGUGCCCAGUCGUGGGGGAUAACGUAGCGAAAGUUACGCUAAUACCGCAUACGAUCUAUGGAUGAAAGCGGGGGAUCGCAAGACCUCGCGCGAUUGGAGCGGCCGAUAUCAGAUUAGGUAGUUGGUGGGGUAAAGGCCCACCAAGCCGACGAUCUGUAGCUGGUCUGAGAGGACGACCCGCCACACUGGGACUGAGACACGGCCCAGACUCCUACGGGAGGCAGCAGUGGGGAAUUUUGGACAAUGGGCGAAAGCCUGAUCCAGCCAUGCCGCGUGCAGGAUGAAGGCCUUCGGGUUGUAAACUGCUUUUGUACGGAACGAAAAGGACUGCCCUAAUACGGUGGUCCCAUGACGGUACCGUAAGAAUAAGCACCGGCUAACUACGUGCCAGCAGCCGCCGUAA
RNAcentral lists this ribosomal RNA (500 nucleotides) under uncultured bacterium. RNAcentral describes it as "partial 16S ribosomal RNA". It matches the Rfam family "Bacterial small subunit ribosomal RNA", at positions 30 to 523 of the family's 1533-position model. The record is from RNAcentral.